GGGGCAAGUCGUUUGGCGACAGGACCCCCUCGGACGCCAAAUUUUGGCAUCGCUUCUCGGCUUUUGCCUAAGAUCAGAGGCUUCUGGUCGGUAAAAAGCUGUGGUUGGUACUAGUUGUAACCAGCGGGUUUAGCUGGUGUACAACAGGUAAAGGUAAAGGUACGGAGGUUGCGGCGUGCUUCCUUUGGUUUCCCCUGGUUGGUAUUGGUACUUGGCAGGUUGGGCUGCCUGGUUAAGGUGCGGGUGACAGGGACUGGUAUUUGUCCUGUGUCACUGGUUUAGGUACGGGUGGCAGGGACUGGUAUAUGUCCUGUGCCACUGGUAAGGUACGAGUGGUGGGAACGAGGGUUUUACGUUCCGCAUCACAGUGGAAAAAAGUAAAAAAAUAUAAAAAGGUUAAGGUACAGGAAUUGGAGGGACGGGUUUGGUCCCUUGCAAUUCUGGUAGUGCUUGUGUCAUCGUCUGGGACAGUGGGCCAAGUCGCCUUUGCAACCCAAACUCAGUUGAAUUAUGGAUACUGAUGAACAAUCUGAGGAUUAUUAUGCUAUAUACUUAGAAGAAAUUCUUGGAACUGAUAAAACUGAUGAGAAAACAACAGAGGAAAUAAUAGAGAUACAACGUCUGGAGGAACAGUUAAGUGAAAAAAUAGAUACUGUAAAGAAGAAAACUUAUUCUGAAAUACUAAGAUCAACAAUUGAAGAAAAACAGGGUAUUUUUAGUAAUAGUAUAGAGAUAAGUAAUUCUAGUGAUAAAACCAGUUUAAAUUAUGCAAUAAAUAAUUAUAAAGAGCGGG
RNAcentral lists this long non-coding RNA (793 nucleotides) under Androctonus crassicauda. Lineage: Eukaryota; Metazoa; Arthropoda; Arachnida; Scorpiones; Buthidae. The record is from RNAcentral.